This 252-nucleotide ribosomal RNA is filed under the name uncultured bacterium. RNAcentral's name for it is "partial 16S ribosomal RNA". It matches the Rfam family "Bacterial small subunit ribosomal RNA", at positions 524 to 776 of the family's 1533-position model. The record is from RNAcentral.
UACGUAGGGGGCGAGCGUUGUCCGGAAUUAUUGGGCGUAAAGGGUGCGUAGGCGGCCUUGUAAGUCAGAUGUGAAAGAUCAUGGCUUAACUGUGGUAAGCAUUUGAAACUGCAGGGCUUGAGUACAGGAGAGGAGAGUGGAAUUCCUAGUGUAGCGGUGAAAUGCGUAGAUAUUAGGAGGAAUACCAGUGGCGAAGGCGACUCUCUAGACUGUAACUGACGCUGAGGCACGAAAGCGUGGGGAGCAAACAGG